Long non-coding RNA from Homo sapiens (human), 677 nucleotides. Ensembl annotates it as long intergenic non-protein coding RNA 2156. NCBI's taxonomy places the organism in Eukaryota, Metazoa, Chordata, Mammalia, Primates, Hominidae. The record is from Ensembl.
GGGGAGGACAUGGCUGUCAGCUGGGAAGAGUGAAAUGGGCAAAGACUGCGUCACGGCUGGAAGGGAUCGUGGCAAGGGCACAGGCAGCAGGAAAGCUGGAAGUGAAACCCACAGGUUCUGUGGCUCUGCAGUGCCCUCUCUAGGAUGCUUUUGUGGAUGUGCAGUGGCUCAAGGUGCAGCAGGUGAUUCUGUAGAAAGGAGUUUCUCCAAUAAAGCAGAGCUUCUCUUUCAACUCCAUGGACAUCAGAGAGAGUCCCUUUCAAAAAAGGAGGCUCAGGUCUGGAGAGACAAAGGCCUCUACUUUCGAAAAGGCCUCUUGGAUCAAGCCCAGCUCUGUCGGAGCAUUCUGAACAAUCACAGUAAGAGAAAUGCAAUGACAGCCAUGCUUCAUCUCCAGCUGUUUCCUGAGAAGAUGACAGACCCUCAUCAGAGCUGACAACAUGUCCAGCCUGCACUACUGCAAGAACUUCUUUGUCUAUGGUAGUGUGGUCAACUGAAGAAGCCGGCUUAGUUGCUCCAGUCAGGUGCUCACACUAAGAAAGGAUGGGUGAAGGUUAUAAAGUGGCUGUGAAUGAGAACUCGGUCUGGGCUCUACCAAGCAGAGAAGCCAUGCAGAGAUGAGAAAGGUGAAAGCCAUGAAACCAUGUUAAGCAGAAAAAUAAAAAUUCAAAACAGAA